This is a small nucleolar RNA of Phodopus roborovskii (desert hamster), 148 nucleotides long. RefSeq annotates it as small nucleolar RNA SNORA79. The transcript has a single exon. The record is from RefSeq and is a predicted model, not a curated record. NCBI's taxonomy places the organism in Eukaryota, Metazoa, Chordata, Mammalia, Rodentia, Cricetidae.
UGAUGACUAUUCCUCCUGUUGCUGCCUUUAGGUUUGGCACUAGGAUUUUAGGUCAUCACACAAUAAAAAAAAAUUUUUUUUCACUCAGAGAAUAUUAAGAUAUUGGAAUUAUCUAUGUGUUCUCUGAAAGUUGCAGGAUCAAACAAUU